AAUCAACGCUGGCGGCGCGCUUAACACAUGCAAGUCGAACGAGAAAGCCCAGCAAUGGGUGAGUACAGUGGCGUACGGGUGAGUAACACGUGGGUGAUCUACUCUUUGGUGGGGAACAACCCUGGGAAACCGGGGCUAAUACCGCAUAAGCCUCUAUUUUCAAAGUUGAGGGAAAGGUGCAAAUCGCCGAAGAAGGAGCCCGCGGCUGAUUAGCUAGUUGGUGGGGUAAAGGCUCACCAAGGCGAAGAUCGGUAGCCGGCCUGAGAGGGCACACGGCCACACUGGCACUGAAACACGGGCCAGACUCCUACGGGAGGCAGCAGUGGGGAAUCUUGCACAAUGGGGGCAACCCUGAUGCAGCGACGCCGCGUGAGCGAUG
This 379-nucleotide ribosomal RNA is filed under the name uncultured bacterium. Its description in RNAcentral is "bacterial SSU rRNA". It matches the Rfam family "Bacterial small subunit ribosomal RNA", at positions 32 to 410 of the family's 1533-position model. The record is from RNAcentral.